Molecule: transfer RNA, 69 nt
Filed under: Conocara sp. ASIZP P0913760
Lineage: Eukaryota; Metazoa; Chordata; Actinopteri; Alepocephaliformes; Alepocephalidae
Description: tRNA-Phe
Rfam family: tRNA
About the family: Transfer RNA (tRNA) molecules are approximately 80 nucleotides in length.
Source: RNAcentral
GCUAGCGUAGCUUAAGCAAAGCGUAACAUUGAAGAUGUUGAGAUGGACUCUUAUAAAACCCCGCAGGCA